GGGUUGUGAGGUUAAGCGACUAAGCGUACACGGUGGAUGCCCUGGCAGUCAGAGGCGAUGAAGGACGUGCUAAUCUGCGAAAAGCGUCGGUAAGGUGAUAUGAACCGUUACAGCCGGCGAUGUCCGAAUGGGGAAACCCAGUGUGAUUCGUCACACUAUCGUUAACUGAAUACAUAGGUUAACGAGGCGAACCGGGGGAACUGAAACAUCUAAGUACCCCGAGGAAAAGAAAUCAACCGAGAUUCCCCCAGUAGCGGCGAGCGAACGGGGAGCAGCCCAGAGUCUGAAUCAGCUUGUGUGUUAGUGGAACGGUCUGGAAAGUCCGACGGUACAGGGUGAUAGUCCCGUACACCAAAAUGCACAGGCUGUGAACUCGAAGAGUAGGGCGGGACACGUGGUAUCCUGUCUGAAUAUGGGGGGACCAUCCUCCAAGGCUAAAUACUCCUGACUGACCGAUAGUGAACCAGUACCGUGAGGGAAAGGCGAAAAGAACCCCGGCGAGGGGAGUGAAAAAGAACCUGAAACCGUGUACGUACAAGCAGUGGGAGCACCUUCGGGUGUGACUGCGUACCUUUUGUAUAAUGGGUCAGCGACUUAUAUUCUGUAGCAAGGUUAACCGUAUAGGGGAGCCGCAGGGAAACCGAGUCUUAACUGGGCGUUAAGUUGCAGGGUAUAGACCCGAAACCCGGUGAUCUAGCCAUGGGCAGGUUGAAGGUUGGGUAACACUAACUGGAGGACCGAACCGACUAAUGUUGAAAAAUUAGCGGAUGACUUGUGGCUGGGGGUGAAAGGCCAAUCAAACCGGGAGAUAGCUGGUUCUCCCCGAAAGCUAUUUAGGUAGCGCCUCGUGAACUCAUCUUCGGGGGUAGAGCACUGUUUCGGCUAGGGGGUCAUCCCGACUUACCAACCCGAUGCAAACUACGAAUACCGAAGAAUGUUAUCACGGGAGACACACGGCGGGUGCUAACGUCCGUCGUGAAGAGGGAAACAACCCAGACCGCCAGCUAAGGUCCCAAAGUCAUGGUUAAGUGGGAAACGAUGUGGGAAGGCACAGACAGCCAGGAUGUUGGCUUAGAAGCAGCCAUCAUUUAAAGAAAGCGUAAUAGCUCACUGGUCGAGUCGGCCUGCGCGGAAGAUGUAACGGGGCUAAACCAUGCACCGAAGCUGCGGCAGCGACACUAUGUGUUGUUGGGUAGGGGAGCGUUCUGUAAGCCUGCGAAGGUGUGCUGUGAGGCAUGCUGGAGGUAUCAGAAGUGCGAAUGCUGACAUAAGUAACGAUAAAGCGGGUGAAAAGCCCGCUCGCCGGAAGACCAAGGGUUCCUGUCCAACGUUAAUCGGGGCAGGGUGAGUCGACCCCUAAGGCGAGGCCGAAAGGCGUAGUCGAUGGGAAACAGGUUAAUAUUCCUGUACUUGGUGUUACUGCGAAGGGGGGACGGAGAAGGCUAUGUUAGCCGGGCGACGGUUGUCCCGGUUUAAGCAUGUAGGCUGAUUGUCCAGGCAAAUCCGGAUAAUCAAGGCUGAGGUGUGAUGACGAGGCACUACGGUGCUGAAGUAACAAAUGCCCUGCUUCCAGGAAAAGCCUCUAAGCAUCAGGUAACAUUAAAUCGUACCCCAAACCGACACAGGUGGUCAGGUAGAGAAUACCAAGGCGCUUGAGAGAACUCGGGUGAAGGAACUAGGCAAAAUGGUGCCGUAACUUCGGGAGAAGGCACGCUGGUGUGUAGGUGAAGUCCCUGCGGAUGGAGCUGAGACCAGUCGAAGAUACCAGCUGGCUGCAACUGUUUAUUAAAAACACAGCACUGUGCAAACACGAAAGUGGACGUAUACGGUGUGACGCCUGCCCGGUGCCGGAAGGUUAAUUGAUGGGGUUAUCCGUAAGGAGAAGCUCUUGAUCGAAGCCCCGGUAAACGGCGGCCGUAACUAUAACGGUCCUAAGGUAGCGAAAUUCCUUGUCGGGUAAGUUCCGACCUGCACGAAUGGCGUAAUGAUGGCCAGGCUGUCUCCACCCGAGACUCAGUGAAAUUGAACUCGCUGUGAAGAUGCAGUGUACCCGCGGCAAGACGGAAAGACCCCGUGAACCUUUACUAUAGCUUGACACUGAACAUUGAGCCUUGAUGUGUAGGAUAGGUGGGAGGCUUUGAAGCGUGGACGCCAGUCUGCGUGGAGCCAACCUUGAAAUACCACCCUUUAAUGUUUGAUGUUCUAACGUUGGCCCCUGACCGGGGUUGCGGACAGUGUCUGGUGGGUAGUUUGACUGGGGCGGUCUCCUCCCAAAGUGUAACGGAGGAGCACGAAGGUUAGCUAAUCCUGGUCGGACAUCAGGAGGUUAGUGCAAUGGCAUAAGCUAGCUUGACUGCGAGCGUGACGGCGCGAGCAGGUGCGAAAGCAGGUCAUAGUGAUCCGGUGGUUCUGAAUGGAAGGGCCAUCGCUCAACGGAUAAAAGGUACUCCGGGGAUAACAGGCUGAUACCGCCCAAGAGUUCAUAUCGACGGCGGUGUUUGGCACCUCGAUGUCGGCUCAUCACAUCCUGGGGCUGAAGUAGGUCCCAAGGGUAUGGCUGUUCGCCAUUUAAAGUGGUACGCGAGCUGGGUUUAGAACGUCGUGAGACAGUUCGGUCCCUAUCUGCCGUGGGCGCUGGAGAAUUGAGGGGGGCUGCUCCUAGUACGAGAGGACCGGAGUGGACGCAUCACUGGUGUUCGGGUUGUCAUGCCAAUGGCACUGCCCGGUAGCUAAAUGCGGAAGAGAUAAGUGCUGAAAGCAUCUAAGCACGAAACUUGCCCCGAGAUGAGUUCUCCCUGAGACUUUAAGUCUCCUGAAGGAACGUUGAAGACGACGACGUUGAUAGGCCGGGUGUGUAAGCGCAGCGAUGCGUUGAGCUAACCGGUACUAAUGAACCGUGAGGCUUAACCUUACAACGCCGAAG
Molecule: ribosomal RNA, 2923 nt
Filed under: Klebsiella pneumoniae
Lineage: Bacteria; Pseudomonadati; Pseudomonadota; Gammaproteobacteria; Enterobacterales; Enterobacteriaceae
Description: 23S ribosomal RNA
Rfam family: Bacterial large subunit ribosomal RNA
Source: RNAcentral